UCUAAUAUGGCAGAAUAGUGCACUGGACUUAAACCCCAUUUAUAAAGGUUUCACCUUUUUUUAGAA
Molecule: transfer RNA, 66 nt
Filed under: Otiorhynchus rugosostriatus
Lineage: Eukaryota; Metazoa; Arthropoda; Insecta; Coleoptera; Curculionidae
Description: tRNA-Leu
Rfam family: tRNA
About the family: Transfer RNA (tRNA) molecules are approximately 80 nucleotides in length. Their secondary structure includes four short double-helical elements and three loops (D, anti-codon, and T loops). Further hydrogen bonds mediate the characteristic L-shaped molecular structure. tRNAs have two regions of fundamental functional importance: the anti-codon, which is responsible for specific mRNA codon recognition, and the 3' end, to which the tRNAs corresponding amino acid is attached (by aminoacyl-tRNA synthetases). tRNAs cope with the degeneracy of the genetic code in two manners: having more than one tRNA (with a specific anti-codon) for a particular amino acid; and 'wobble' base-pairing, i.e. permitting non-standard base-pairing at the 3rd anti-codon position.
Source: RNAcentral